Molecule: ribosomal RNA, 230 nt
Filed under: uncultured bacterium
Lineage: Bacteria
Description: partial 16S ribosomal RNA
Rfam family: Bacterial small subunit ribosomal RNA
Source: RNAcentral
AAAGCGUGCGCAGGCGGUUUUGUAAGUCUGAUGUGAAAUCCCCGGGCUCAACCUGGGAAUUGCAUUGGAGACUGCAAGGCUAGAAUCUGGCAGAGGGGGGUAGAAUUCCACGUGUAGCAGUGAAAUGCGUAGAUAUGUGGAGGAACACCGAUGGCGAAGGCAGCCCCCUGGGUCAAAACUGACGCUCAUGCACGAAAGCGUGGGGAGCAAACAGGAUUAGAUACCCUUGU